Molecule: long non-coding RNA, 643 nt
Organism: Olea europaea var. sylvestris
Lineage: Eukaryota; Viridiplantae; Streptophyta; Magnoliopsida; Lamiales; Oleaceae
Exons: 2
Source: RefSeq, a predicted model, not a curated record
UGUUUUUGAGUUUCAUGGCUCAGUGGGACGUAGCCUUCUACAGCAAACAACCAAUUGUCCUCUGAAUUUGGAGACGCUGAACUACACAAUCGUCACAAGCCAGUGCAAAGGGCCGCACUACACAAAGGAACGGUGUUGUCCGGCCCUGAAAGAAUUGCUUUGCCCUAUUCGAGAUGAAAUCAAUGACCUCAAAAACGACUGUAUGGAAACCUUUACAAGCUAUGCAAAUCUGUAUGGAAAGUAUCCAGCUGCCUUGUUUGCAAAUUUGUGCACUGAAACGAGAGAAGGCCUUGACUGUAAAGACAUAGGUGCACCACCACCUGCAACAAGUUGGGCUGCAAAAGCUACUCAAUUCAAUCUGCAUUUGCUCAUUGCCGGACUAGCAAUUCUCCUAUUUAACCUAUUCUGAAAGAUCAAGUUCUAACGACUGAAGAGAUAAAUUGUAAUCUUAAAUAUUUAUUUUAUGUAGAUAAAUAUAUUUGUUUGACUAUGUAUAGAGAGUGUGUGUGUGUUUCUUGAAGUGUUGCAUCAACUACUAGUUGAAGUUUGGAAUUCUUUAGUGUUCGUUACAAUUUUAAAAGUAAACGAAGUAAAAUCAUGGGCUGAGUCCACAGAAAGCAGGAUUUUACUCAUGUAUUAGAGA